UACGGAGGGUGCGAGCGUUGUUCGGAAUCACUGGGCGUAAAGGGCGUGUAGGCGGUCUGCUAAGUCUGAUGUGAAAGCCCGGGGCUCACCCCCGGAAGUGCAUUGGAUACUGGCGGACUCGAGUCCCGGAGAGGAGAGUGGAAUUCCUGGUGUAGCGGUGAAAUGCGUAGAUAUCAGGAGGAACACCGGUGGCGAAGGCGGCUCUCUGGACGGUGACUGACGCUGAGACGCGAAAGCGUGGGGAGCAAACAGG
Molecule: ribosomal RNA, 253 nt
Filed under: uncultured bacterium
Lineage: Bacteria
Description: partial 16S ribosomal RNA
Rfam family: Bacterial small subunit ribosomal RNA
Source: RNAcentral